RNAcentral lists this ribosomal RNA (1018 nucleotides) under uncultured bacterium. Its description in RNAcentral is "bacterial SSU rRNA". It matches the Rfam family "Bacterial small subunit ribosomal RNA", at positions 357 to 1376 of the family's 1533-position model. The record is from RNAcentral.
AGGAAUAUUGGUCAAUGGGCGAGAGCCUGAACCAGCCAAGUAGCGUGCAGGACGACGGCCCUAUGGGUUGUAAACUGCUUUUAUAAGGGAAUAAAGUGAGUCUCGUGAGACUUUUUGCAUGUACCUUAUGAAUAAGGACCGGCUAAUUCCGUGCCAGCAGCCGCGGUAAUACGGAAGGUCCGGGCGUUAUCCGGAUUUAUUGGGUUUAAAGGGAGCGUAGGCCGGAGAUUAAGCGUGUUGUGAAAUGUAGACGCUCAACGUCUGCACUGCAGCGCGAACUGGUUUCCUUGAGUACGCACAAAGUGGGCGGAAUUCGUGGUGUAGCGGUGAAAUGCUUAGAUAUCACGAAGAACUCCGAUUGCGAAGGCAGCUCACUGGAGCGCAACUGACGCUGAAGCUCGAAAGUGCGGGUAUCGAACAGGAUUAGAUACCCUGGUAGUCCGCACGGUAAACGAUGGAUGCCCGCUGUUGGCCUGAAUAGGUCAGCGGCCAAGCGAAAGCAUUAAGCAUCCCACCUGGGGAGUACGCCGGCAACGGUGAAACUCAAAGGAAUUGACGGGGGCCCGCACAAGCGGAGGAACAUGUGGUUUAAUUCGAUGAUACGCGAGGAACCUUACCCGGGCUUGAAUUGCAGAGGAAGGAUUUGGAGACAAUGACGCCCUUCGGGGCCUCUGUGAAGGUGCUGCAUGGUUGUCGUCAGCUCGUGCCGUGAGGUGUCGGCUUAAGUGCCAUAACGAGCGCAACCCCUCUCCUUAGUUGCCAUCAGGUCAUGCUGGGCACUCUGGGGACACUGCCACCGUAAGGUGUGAGGAAGGUGGGGAUGACGUCAAAUCAGCACGGCCCUUACGUCCGGGGCUACACACGUGUUACAAUGGCAGGUACAGAGAGACGGUCCCUUGCAAAAUGGAUCAAAUCCUCAAAGCCUGUCUCAGUUCGGACUGGGGUCUGCAACCCGACCCCACGAAGCUGGAUUCGCUAGUAAUCGCGCAUCAGCCAUGGCGCGGUGAAUACGUUCCCG